GUUCACCGCCUGGACUCUGGGAAGGGGACGCCACGCUCCUUCUGCGCAUGUGCAGCCGUAGCCUCCUCGUUCGUCUUCUCAGGACUCCAGAGAACCGUUGGGGAACUUUGGGGUGUGCUCGGAAAAUGCAGGAUGCGCUGCUGUCACACAUGUCCACCACCACAUGUGACAUUAGUGACGUUAUCCUGAUGUCACAGGAUCCAAGAAUGAUGAUCUGUGAAGAGUUUUCCGAGGUCACCUACUUCUAACUCUUUUGAAAGAUUUAAAGACAUUGGGCCUGAAAAUUUCAGUGACUUGUCCAGGGAAACGCAGUUUGUGACAGUUCACUCUCUCACAGGCUUUCCGUGGAUUGUGUAUACCAGGGG
Molecule: long non-coding RNA, 365 nt
Filed under: Equus caballus (horse)
Lineage: Eukaryota; Metazoa; Chordata; Mammalia; Perissodactyla; Equidae
Description: lncRNA (ENSECAG00000038903.2)
Source: RNAcentral